UGUGAGUGAUUCUUGUUAGGGGAAGAUGCAUAGUAAAGGAUGGUCCACCUAUUAAUUUACUCUUUUUAUGUUGGUGUAUGUCUGGUUUGAUAUUAUUGUUUAGUAAUGUAAGUUUGUGUAGUUUUAGUUAAGCUAAGUCUAUGUGCUGCUUAUAAGAGUUUUUGUGUGUUACAUUGAUAGGAAUAUUGUUGUAAUAUGGUAUUG
RNAcentral lists this ribosomal RNA (204 nucleotides) under Echinococcus multilocularis. Its description in RNAcentral is "partial 12S ribosomal RNA". Lineage: Eukaryota; Metazoa; Platyhelminthes; Cestoda; Cyclophyllidea; Taeniidae. The record is from RNAcentral.